RNAcentral lists this ribosomal RNA (497 nucleotides) under uncultured bacterium. RNAcentral describes it as "partial 16S ribosomal RNA". It matches the Rfam family "Bacterial small subunit ribosomal RNA", at positions 28 to 507 of the family's 1533-position model. The record is from RNAcentral.
GAUGAACGCUGGCGGCGUGCCUAAUACAUGCAAGUCGAGCGAACAGAUAAGGAGCUUGCUCCUUUGACGUUAGCGGCGGACGGGUGAGUAACACGUGGGUAACCUACCUAUAAGACUGGGAUAACUUCGGGAAACCGGAGCUAAUACCGGAUAACAUUUGGAACCGCAUGGUUCUAAAGUGAAAGAUGGUUUUGCUAUCACUUAUAGAUGGACCCGCGCCGUAUUAGCUAGUUGGUAAGGUAACGGCUUACCAAGGCGACGAUACGUAGCCGACCUGAGAGGGUGAUCGGCCACACUGGAACUGAGACACGGUCCAGACUCCUACGGGAGGCAGCAGUAGGGAAUCUUCCGCAAUGGGCGAAAGCCUGACGGAGCAACGCCGCGUGAGUGACGAAGGGUUUCGGCUCGUAAAACUCUGUUAUUAGGGAAGAACAAAUGUGUAAGUAACUGUGCACGUCUUGACGGUACCUAAUCAGAAAGCCACGGCUAACUACGUG